UAGGGAAUCUUCCACAAUGGACGCAAGUCUGAUGGAGCAACGCCGCGUGAGUGAAGAAGGUUUUGGGAUCGUAAACCUCUGUUGUUGGGGAAGAAGGAUGGGGGCGGUAACUGGUCUUAAUUUGACGGAAAUCACCCAGAAAGCCACGGCUAACUACGUGCCAGCAGCCGGGGAAAUAGUUAGUUGGCAAGCGUUGUCCGGUUUUUUUGGGCGUAAAGAGAGGGCAGGCGGAAUGAUAAGUCUGAUGUGAAAGCCCACGGCUCAACCGUGGAACUGCAUCGGAAACUGUCAUUCUUGAGUGCAGAAGAGGAGAGUGGAAUUCCAUGUGUAGCGGUGGAAUGCGUAGAUAUAUGGAAGAACACCAGUGGCGAAGGCGGCUCUCUGGUCUGCAACUGACGCUGAGGCUCGAAAGCAUGGGUAGCGAACAGG
RNAcentral lists this ribosomal RNA (429 nucleotides) under bacterium. RNAcentral describes it as "partial 16S ribosomal RNA". It matches the Rfam family "Bacterial small subunit ribosomal RNA", at positions 355 to 776 of the family's 1533-position model. The record is from RNAcentral.